AAUGAACGUUGGCGGCGGGGAUUAGGCAUGCAAGUCGUGCGGAAGUGGCCCGCAAGGGUUACUUUAGCGGCGAAAGGGAGAGUAAUACGUAGGUACCUACCCCUAGAACCGGGAUAGCUGCGGGAAACUGCAGGUAAUACAGGAUAAUGUCUCCGGACCACAGGUGUUAUUCCGUACGGGGAGGGGCCUGCGUCCUAUUAGCUAGUUGGUGAGGUGAUGGCUCACCAAGGCAAAGCUGGGUACGGGGUGUGAGAGCAUGCCCCCGCGCACUGGGACUGAGACACUGCCCAGACACCGACGGGUGGCUGCAGUCGAGGAUCUUCGGCAAUGGGCGCAAGCCUGACCGAGCGACGCCGCGUGUGGGAUGAAGGCCCUCGGGUUGUAAACCACUGUCAGAGGGGAUGAAGUGCCAUGGGGUUCUCUCCAUGGUUUGACAUAUCCUCAGAGGAAGGACGGGCUAAGUUCGUGCCAGCAGCCGCCGUAAAAC
Molecule: ribosomal RNA, 487 nt
Filed under: uncultured bacterium
Lineage: Bacteria
Description: bacterial SSU rRNA
Rfam family: Bacterial small subunit ribosomal RNA
Source: RNAcentral